This 258-nucleotide long non-coding RNA is filed under the name Homo sapiens (human). Its description in RNAcentral is "non-protein coding lnc-FAM153B-3:9". Lineage: Eukaryota; Metazoa; Chordata; Mammalia; Primates; Hominidae. The record is from RNAcentral.
GACUGGAACCUCCAGAAAAAGUACUUUAAGUUACCUACAGGUGAUCCUAGUCAGGCAAAUGAAAACAGUAGCCUAAAGUGUCAGUUUCAACCAGAAAAUAACAGCUCUGAUUUCUCAUGGCUCAUACUCGUCUGAAACGACUCAGGUAGAGGCUGAGGAAGGCCGUGUUGUUUGUCUACCUGGGACUACACCUACUGAAAGAAGUUCUCAAGUUCUGAUUGAGUUCUAAAAUUUUUUGAAGAUUGGAAUUCUUCAUAU